Molecule: ribosomal RNA, 254 nt
Filed under: uncultured bacterium
Lineage: Bacteria
Description: partial 16S ribosomal RNA
Rfam family: Bacterial small subunit ribosomal RNA
Source: RNAcentral
UACGUAGGGGGCUAGCGUUGUCCGGAUUUAUUGGGCGUAAAGAGCGUGUAGGCGGCCAGGUAGGUCUGGUGUGAAAACUCGAGGCUCAACCUCGAGACGCCGGUGGAAACCAUCAGGCUAGAGUCCGGAAGAGGAGAGUGGAAUUCCGUGGUGUAGCGGUGAAAUGCGCAGAUAUCAGGAGGAACACCGGUGGCGAAGGCGGGUCUCUGGGCAGUAACUGACGCUGAGGAGCGAAAGCGUGGGGAGCGAACAGG